Molecule: long non-coding RNA, 1749 nt
Organism: Gallus gallus (chicken)
Lineage: Eukaryota; Metazoa; Chordata; Aves; Galliformes; Phasianidae
Source: Ensembl
CAGGAUCCACCCCUUCCCAGACUUCAUUUAAGGGUUGGCAGGGUAGGUGAGAACAUCUCUUGCAGGAGAUCCCUGCCUACCUGAGGCCUUCCAAAGGUACUUUCUCUGAUUCCAGAAAACUAAGUGAAGGCACAGGAGUGUUUUCUUGCAAGGAGCAAAAAGGCUGUGUACUCAAAUCAAACUUUCUCAAGCACAUCUGACAUCCCUUUGGAUUCCCACAGGGAACAGUCCCAGUGGGGCUGCUCUGCCACCUGGGCGAGGAGCCAAUGACCUGAGUGAUUCUGCAGCCUCGUAACCCAAAUGUUUUUCCACCAGUGAAGAGAGGAAGCAGGGGGCUGCUUCAAUUAAUGCUGUGCAGUGGGGAUAAGUGAUGCAUUUAAAGGAUUAACUCUUCCUUUUCCUUCGCCUAUCCUCUCUUUAGCAUGACAGCCAACAGAGAGUGUGAUAGAGCAAUCUCUAUCUUGUAUGUGACCACAAGAGAUUAAUUAAACAGUAAGCCCUAAUUACCGAGGCUAAGGCUGACCGACUUACCGUGCCUUGUAAAAUAGCUGAAUACUUAAUUUACGCUCCAGUGUGGACAUAACUUUCACCAUUAGCUGAAUAAACAACGAGCACCCAAGCUAAGCGGACCGCUUCCCUAAUAGAUGCACCAUUAUAAAUGGAGCUCUCCGUUGGUGUGGGCUCACUGGGGCUGCCUCCCAGCUACAAAGGGUUUUCGUGGGAAGGGGGAGCUGCUUUGCAGUGCGCCAACCUGCCCUAAGCCUGGGGGAUUCCCUCUCUGUCAGUACUCUUCAGCUUUCAGGCUGCUUAUCAAAGCCGUCAUCAUUUGCAUUUCACUGCAGGUUUGGGGGGAGAAAAAAAGGGAAGAUACCGAAAGGCAUAAAACAAAACCAAGCCCCAACUCCCAGUGCAAUGCGGUGGAAGUAGGGCACAUAGCUCCUUUUCUCUUUAUUUUUUUUCUCCCUUUCAAUAUCUGCCAUAAUAACAGUAAUAGAUUCUGAGAAGUGCAAGUUAAUCUGUAGCUCCAGAGCUUUUUAUUGUGUUUCUCCCUUUUUGUGCGUGUUAACCUUUCAAAUCUUAGAAGGCUGUGGAGUGUGCAUUGCUAUUUUAAUUCCUAUUAUUCUUGCUUGCUGCCUGCUUCUCAACUGGGUCCUAGAUAGAGUAAGUACAUGCACCCAUUAACCCAUAUGUCUCAUUCAGCCCUUCUCCAAACCUUGGGUCUGUCUCUUAAAUUUGUGUUAUGUGUAUUGUAAGUCCCAGGUGAGCUUAAAGCUUCAGUGCACUGCAAAGGAGGAGAGAGCAUCUCAAUACCACACAGAGAGAACUGAAACAGGAAAAAAGUUAGAAGGCCUUAAAACCACAUUGAAUCCAGAAGACAAAGAAUGAGCUGAUGAAAGGAUUCGAAGACAUCUCCAGGAGCACCGUUGCAAGAGGAUGGGAUGUGUGAGAAUGCAGACUGUCACCACAACUGCCACCCUGCAACUUGGGGAGAAGAUGAAUUUGUGGUGUGUUACUCUCAAGGUCUUCAGAACUUGAGAAGACCUCGGUAGUCUGAGCCCUCCUUCACUUUGUCUUCACACAGAACACGGAGCCAUUUCCCUGUGUGUUCCACAUUCCUUUAUCCAUCUUUACUCUCUGUGCCUGAAUAUCUUCUCUUGCCCCAUCAUGGGCAAGAGGUGGUGCCCCAUCAGCACCACCUUUUCAUCCUUGACCAAUCUGUAUUAAAUAUGGACGAUUAAAUUAAUCUGG